AAAGUCGUAACAAGGUUUCCGUAGGUGAACCUGCGGAAGGAUCAUUAGUGAUUGCCUUCGGGCUAAAAACUAUAUCCAUAUACACCUGUGAACCGUUCGAUUGACCUGCAAAGGUUAAUUUUACAAACAAUGUGUAAUGAACGUAAUAUUAUAAUAACAUAAUAAAACUUUUAACAACGGAUCUCUUGGCUCUC
RNAcentral lists this unclassified non-coding RNA (194 nucleotides) under Basidiomycota sp. RNAcentral's name for it is "partial contains small subunit ribosomal RNA, internal transcribed spacer 1, and 5.8S ribosomal RNA". The stretch from base 1 to 47 matches the Rfam family "Eukaryotic small subunit ribosomal RNA", at positions 1785 to 1831 of the family's 1831-position model. Lineage: Eukaryota; Fungi; Basidiomycota. The record is from RNAcentral.